UGGAAUUCUUGCAUUUGCAGUAAGGAUUUGGGAGUGUGAAAAGAGAAUCAUUGAAGUUAUGUUCAAUUGAUCUAGUUCACAAAGUAAAGAUCAUAGACAAACAUAGUAUGCAUACUUGGUGUGUGGCAUGACUAGUGUUUAAGAAAACAUAGUGUACAUGCUUGGAGCAUGGGACAACUAUUGUUUUAAAUUCAAGAAUAAAGUUGAUAGCUGAAACAGUAUACAAUGAAUAAUGUGUAAUCAUAUGGUGAUAAAUAAAAGGUGUUUUAUUUAUGUUCAAAGGGUUGAUACCAUAUUGGAUUCAAUUAUUAUUGUGUUUCACUUUGCAUGUUUUGACUUCCCGAAUAAACUGGGUUAUUCUUCCGGAAUGACUAAGUUAUUCAAACCAUCCACAGUCGGUCAUAUGUUGGAAGUAGAUAUGAAUUAAGACUGUCAUGAUGGGUUGUAGAGGUCUAAGGUGUUGGACAAGGCUACAACAAUCAUGAGUGCUCAUAAGUUCUGAGUAUUGGAUUCAACCCGCGCUCAUUGGAAUCACUUCAUGGAUUUUAUCACGAGUGAUCAUGAGACGAUAAUAUCUUAUAUUCUUCAAACCUAGAGAUAUGAGUUGUUACUAUGAGUUGAUAGUACAUUGAUUGCACGAAAACGCAUUUGGUAACUCGGUGCUAUAAAACGUGCCUUUGUGUAUGAUUCAACAAGUAGUAGAACAAGCCAUAUGAGUCGAAGUUUAUCCGUUCCUUUUACCUUCGGGAUAAAAGCGAUAUCUGUGGGCCCCUCGAUGAUUUGAUGAUGACAAAUGGAAGUGCUCGGCCGGGCCAGGACUGAUUUGAUUUGUUCAAUUAGUCAGUCGUCAUAAAUCGGAAAUCGGGAAACAACAAAUGGACAGAGAGAAUGAUUAUAAUCCAUGUCUCAGUCCAUAUGAUAUCUAGAAUGGAGGAAUAUAUGAUCCCUUAUCUAAUGGACAAGUCACUGACAAAGGUCAGAGUUCAUCUACAAGGUCAGAGUUCGACAGAAGCUUUUGAGAGCUACGAUUGCCGGUUGGUUCCUGAAGUCAUACGCAAUAAUAGUUUUAGACUUAUCCAAGUGGGAGACUGUUGGAUUAAUGUCUAAGUCCAUAACUAUAUUUGGUAAGACUUGACCCGACCCGGCAUGGUCCAUUUGGGUUGCAUACCAUCAUGCACUUGAAUGAGAGAAAUAAGACACUUAUGGUUAUUAAUAUAUUAUAAGUUCUAGUAUAUUAAUAAUAAGAAUAAUAAGAUUAUUUAAUUAGUAUUGAUCAAGAAUUAAUCUAGGAUUAAUUAAGUGAUCAAAAGAAGACUAAUUAAAUAUAUGGGUUGAUUGUGUAAAUCAUCCAUACUUGUAUAGUGGGCUAAUGCUCCAUGGAUAAUCAAGUUGGGCUAAAACCCAUAGGAUGGUCCAUGGAUGCUCCAUGGUGUAUUUGUACCCAUGGAUCCAAGGAAAUGGAAAGUCAUGACAAUUAGGGUUUGCCCUAAUUGUAACACUAUAUAAGCAUCAUAUUAUUCACCAAAAUUGGCACUAGUGAGUGUACUAGAAGGGCUAGCCGAUUUCAUGAAGUGUGGGUUUUCUCUCAAGUCAUUCCAAGUGUUUUGAUGAUUGUGAUUCCAUUUGAGGUGUCACACUUGGGGCACUAGGCACUCUAGCUUCAUGAAGACUUUCUUCUCCAAAGAGGUAUGUAUUCUAUCUUGCUAUAGUCAUUGUUUUGUAUGCUAGAUUAGGAUAAUACCUUGGAAGUUCUUAUUUGCAUGUAUAAUAGAGAAAACAUAGAUCCAAGGUAUUUAGGGUUGCAUGUACACUUAGGAAGUGUUAGAAUGCUCAAAACCCUACAGUUCUGUAUUGUGAUAUGAUAUGAGUAUGGUUAUAUGUGGUUGGUAUUUUUGGGGUAACUCACUAAGCUUUCGGGCUUACAGUUCAUUGUUUUGUUUCAGGUACUUCGGGAGAUCGUGGCAAGGCGAAGGCGUGAUCGUACCGUUCCUCAUGUUUUACGAUUUGUGUGUUAUGGUUCUGGGGAAUACUCUGAUGUUUAAACUAUUUUGAAACAAAUGUAUGAACUUAAUGGUUUUUGAAUGAAUUAAAAUGUUUUAAUUUGGCUCGAAUUUUAUGGUCGUUACAAGUUGGUAUCAGAGCCUUGGUUUGAGUGAAUUGGAGGAACAUUCAGGUGAAUCCAGUCUCAAAUCAAGGGGAGUUUCAAAAUAAUUUUAUAAAUGGUUUUCAAAUGAGUAAAAGAGGAGGCGGAGUGUACGAUCACCCGGAGCCAGUAAGUUGCCCCCAAAAUACCAUACAAUUUAUUUGAUUAUGUUAUAUGUUAGAACAACAUGCUAGUACUAGGCUAGGGAUCUUCAGGGAUUGCAUGAUAUAAUUGCCUGAUCACAUGAUGCCUGCUAGCCUAGGGUUCUCUUAUGGGUGGGUUGUGAGAGGUCAGAAGGCCAGUUAUGAGAUAUUUAGUAUUCCUCUAGGAGUGAGGAUGGAGUGUUCAUCAUGUAUAUGGCAUUUUUAGGGUGUUAUGGUGAUACUUGAUACAAAUAUGGGUAGGUGUGGAAGGUAGUAUGGGCAUGUACUACUGAAAGCACAUGACCCAUACGCGUAUCAAGGAAGUCACAACCCCUAGGGUUUGGUUGGGAGCUAGUUCUCGGGGAUAGUUAUGAGGGAUGCCUAAUGUUCUCAUGGUGUAUUUUCAGUAUGGCGAUUACGAGAAGUUUCGAGGCAGGAUCCGGUUCGGGAUUGGGAGCAGGAGAGGGUGGUCAGGAUGGACCAAUACCACCCGAGGUCAUUGUUCAGGUGAGUACAGAAAAGUUGGAUGUCAGGAUUCAUGAGAUCCUGCAUUAUGAGGUUGCUGCUAUGUUUCGGGCUGAGAUACCGGAGAUGUUUGGGUCGAUCAAGACUGCCAUGGUUAAGUACUUUGAUGAGCGCUAUGCAGCUCUUCCAGAGGCGGCUGUCGCGGCAGCUACAUCGGCUGUAGCAACGACAGGGGGAGGAGCCGGUCGAGGUUUUCAGUAUCGGGAUUUCGAUAAUACAAAGCCCCUACUUUCAAUGGAGUUCAGGAUCCGAUCAUUGCUAUGAGAUGGUUGUCAGACGUGGAGGGUUGUUUCUUCACGUGUUCAUGCCCUGCGGACCAGAGGGUGAGGUGUGCUCUGAACCUUUUGAGGCUCAGGGUGAAGGAUUGGUGGAGGUUGACUACGGGAUCUUAUUCUGAUGCGCAGCAGGCUGCAGUUUCAUGGGAUCAGUUCCAAGAGAUGUUUCGUACUCGUUAUGUUCCGCAACUUGAAAGAGAGAGGUUGGCUCAGGAGUUCCUGGAACUGAAGCAGGAUUCAGAGUUGGUGACAGAGAUCACCAGGAUGUUCACUGAUAGGGCGAUAUUUUGCCUGGAGUUUGCUUCAGAGCAGGCUCAGAUGUCCCGAUAUCUGAGUAUGCUCAAGAGGGACAUCAGGCAGUUUGUGUCCACAUAGAGAUGUGGUACGUUGUUAGAGCUACAGGAGGCCGCCAGGCGGCGAGAGUUAGAGAUGGAGUUGCAGUUACGAGAGUAGAGGCAGACUCCGAUGCAGUCGUAGCCGGCGCCGAAACGGUCCAAAACCGUUGACUCUAGGGUUGGAGGUCAGAGCAGCUACACUUAUGAGAAGUGUGGGAAGGGUCAUGUCGGAGUUUGUAGGUCCGGUGGUGUGUGUCGCAAGUGUGGGAGAGAGGGGAAUUAUGCGAGGGAUUGUCGUCAGUCGGUCCCGGCUCAGGAUAUGAGGAUCUGUUAUCAUUGUCAUCAGGUUGGACACUUGAGGGUCAACUGUCCACAACUUGUUGCAAGGCCGGUGCAGGCUCCAGCACCGGCCACAUUGAGGAUUACGGGUGGAGAUCAGAGUGGAACGGAGCCUCCGAGGGCUCAGGGGCGCACUUUCCAGCUUACAACACAGGAGGUCAGGGCAGAGUCGAAUGCAUCUGCGGGUAUGUUUCCAUUUGAUAUCUUGUUAUCUUGUUGAUUAUGUGGUAUUGUAGAUCUGUUCACCUUUUUCGCAUGAUUCAUGGUAUGAUUGAGGAUCUUAGUAGUUAGGGGUUGUAGUCGAUUAGCAUCCAAGAGGAUAGGUGAUCGGAAGAUAGGAUAUAUGAUCAUGGUUGCUAGGAAUAGCAACUACGAUGCGGGAAGUGUUCAGUUGAGAUUCGAACUUCCUUGGAGUUCAGGAUGUGCAAUGUCGGGAGAGUGUUCUGUGGAGAUUGCUCAACCCAGAGGGUUUUAGUUCCUGAAGAAAGGGGAACUUUAUCAAGUAAGGUCGAUCGAGUUAUGCCGGGUUGUUAGCGGAAAUUAGUAGUUGGUACACUAGGUGGGGAGAAUUGGAAAAUUCUCAGGUAAAACAGCAAGUAUCCAGGGUUGGUUAGCCGUUUAGAUUUAUCGGUGUUGUUAGCCGAGGGUGUGGCAUGAUUGGAGCAAGUGAUAGACAAGUGGGGCAGGGAACGGACCAUGGUUUCAGGGAAGGUAGUUGGUCGAUGUGAGUCCUUGGUUUAGGACAUGGAAAGGAUUUUGGGAACGGAACGGGUGUUCGGAACCCAUAGAGGGCUAGAACAGACUGCAUGGGAGAGAUUCCUGGGAAGAAUGGUUUAGGGCGAUGAAUGACAGUUAUGAGCGGCGCGGAUAGACUGAAGGUCGGAGGCAUACCAGUCAGGCCGAAGGCUCGGGGAAUAGUCCAGUCAGGUUGAAGUCCCAUAGGGCGGUCCAGACAUGCUGAAGGUUCUGAGAUUCGUCCAGGUAGGCUGAAGGCUUGGUAAGGCAGUCCAGUCAUGUUGAAGUCUCUGUAUGGGUUAGUGGAUCUGUAUGCGGAGAAUGAGUGAAUAUGUCGCCAUGCAAUAGUAAUCGAUAUGGUCUGGCCCCAAGUAUUGAUCAAGAUGAUGGAGUUGGCUGGAGGCCGUGCAUGGGCCUUGUUAGUUAUGAGAUCGGAUUCGGAGUAUAUGGGAGUUCGAGAAUAGCAGUUGCUCUACAUGGAUAGUGUAGAGUGGAGUUUAGCACAGUGGCAUUUACAGGUGUGGUAAGGGUUGUUGAGUAGAUUUCCGGGAAAGGAAAUGUAUGUAGCUCUGGGAAGGAGUGUGGGUUAUCUGAAAGGAAAGCAGUAGUGUAAAUGGAUGAUCGAAAGUACUUCAGUUAUUGAUAGUAAGCACUAUGAUUGUACCAGAUGUAUGAAAGCACAUACGGGUUGGAUGCCCGUUGAGGUUGUGGAAUGGUUAGCACGGAUGUUGAGUUAGAGGAGCUCGGAAGUGAUGCAAGGGUAGAUCCUUGGGUUCCAAAUUAUGGUUGAGGUCAUGAGUUAUGUAUGUAGUGGUGUUCCAUCUUAAGGAUGGUCGGAUCAUCGUAGGCGUGCCUGGUCUUCCAGCCCGAGGCUGAUUGGACCAGGUACGGUGUGUAUAUACGUUAUAGCUAGGUGUCCAUGAGAGUUACUCGGAAGAUGUGAGAUGUUCUAUCAUGUCAGCGUGGUAAGGGAUUUGACUCAAGGAGGAAACGAGUUGAGUUUCCAUCGGUGCAAGUUAAUAGAAGUAGCACCAGUUGGGCAAAGCAUAGCAGGUUCAUACUGGGUCAGGACCCGGUGGUUUAUAAUGGCAUCCAGUUUUCGCAGGCGGCGAAUGAAUGCGUAAGACGGAAGUAUGGUAAUGUCAUCAGGUGGCACUUAGUUGAUGAGUGUUUUCAUAAGAGAAAAGAAGCUGGUAACCGGCUUGAAGCAGUUAUCAGGACCCUGCAAGGGAAGAGAUGGAUUUUACAAGGAUUCGAUAGUAGUGUCUGAAGGAAUUUUGGUCGGUUUGAGAUCAGUGCAUGCAUUGUGAGAAUAUCAUCCGGAAGUUUGUGUUGUCGCGGGCUUCGAGGAUGAAGCCUAAUUUAAGUGGGGGAGAAUAGUAACAUCCCACAUUCGCAAACAAGUAGUUGAAGGGUGCUAAGUGUAAAUUAAGGAAGCUACUCGACGAGUAGGUAUGCUACUCGUCGAGUCGGAGUGGGAGUGAUCGCGGGUUAAGUGGCCAACUCGCCGAGUCGGAAGUUGUACUCGACAAGUUGGUGCUGGAAUGAGAAAACCCUAAUCCUGAAGGUUGCACCCUAUUUAAAGGACUUUAUGUCCUUUUCCCAACCUCCUAAUCCCCCUGAGAGUUCCAGAAGAACUCUAAUUUCGUGUGAGACUUCAUUGUUAAGGAAUUGGAGCUUGGAAGAGGAAUUUGGUGUAAGGAGCUUGAGGAAUUAGAGGCUAGCAUCAAGGGGAUUGUGUGGAUCUGGGAUCUACAUCUGUUUGGGCACAUUUCAGAGGUAAGAAGCCAUAAUCUUAAGCUAUUUUCCUUUUUGGUUCAUCCUUGGUGGUUGAUGUGGAGUUCAUUAGUUUGUUUGAUAUCUAUUUCGGGUUUGGAGUUUAGAUCUGAGGUUGCUACUCCAGAUCUAGACUUAUGAUGGCCUAUAAUGUCAUAAAUUUUCAGUCAUUGAGUUGUUGGUGAAGCCCUUUUGUCUAAAACCCAAGCCCUAGUGUGUUUUGGGCCUAUAUCUCCUUGGUUUCACGUAAAGUUUGCAACUUUAUGUGAGGGUUAGAUUGUAGAAGGGUGGAUCUAUGGAUUGGAGACCCUGCAUGGCUCGAAAAGCCUCUAAUUGGAGUGAGAACUGGAGAGACUCAGCGAGUCACAUGGGUGUACUCGACGAGUUGUAUAAACAUGUGCAUGGACUCGACGAGUGGAAGAACAACUCGGCGAGUCUGUUGAAGAUUGCCUUGGACUCAGCUAGUCUGUUCUUGGACUCGGCGAGUCAGGCCGCAGAACCCCAACCUCUUUUGGUUAAAGCCUUGGAUUAAGUGAGUCGUUUGGCAACUCAGUGAGUCGGACAGGAUGGGACUCAGAGAUCGUUGGACUCGGUGAGUCUUGGGGCGACUCAACGAGUUAAGUUGUGUUAUGAGAGUUUUCUGGGUAUGGGAACUCGGCGAGUCGACAGGGUGACUCGGCGAGUAGAGUCAACCAGGAAGGUUGACUUUGACUGAGGACUUUGACUUUGACCAAGAGUUGGCCAGUUUGACUUCCAAGGGUACUUUGGUAAUAUUGGUAUUUAUGGAAUUGGUUCUUUGGUAGUGUUCAGUGGCGAUGAUCGUGUCGGUCGUCGGAGCAGCUUGGUCUUAUCUUUUUAGUCGGCAAUUGCAGGUGAGUUAACCUCACUUUAUCGACAGGGUCUACGGCACCAAGGCCGGCCCUUUAUCGGAUGGAAAUUCGGGUAUUGUUUGCUAUGUUAUUGAUUUGCUAGAUCUACAUUCUGGUAUUUAGGAUUGUAUUAUGUUAGUGACCUGGUUAAGGUCAGUACCCCGAUAUAUAGGGUAAUGUUAUGCUAGUGACCGGUUAGGUCGGAAUCCUGGUUAGGAUGUUGAUAUGCCAUGUGAUAUGUCAGACUGUCUAUCUGGUUAAGGAAUUGUUAUGUGAUUAAUUGUUUUAUGUGCACGUGAUUGUUUGACUGGGGUUGGGGUGAGGCGGGUCCUGCUUUAUGCUGUAGGCCAAUAUACCCAAGGCGGAUCAGAUAUCCCGAAGGCCCAACAAGCGGUCCGGAUAGGCAGAAGGCCCUAUGCGGGCAGACCAGACGUGCCAAGGCUCGGAGAGUGGACCAGGCCGACUGAAGGCCCGAUGUGGGCGGACUAGUCAUACUGUAGACUCAGAGAGUGGACCAGGGGGAUUGAAGGCCCGAUNGAGUGGACCAGGUGGAUUGAAGGCCCGAUACGGGCGGACCAAUCACACUAUAGACUCGAUGUACAUGGCUAGACUCGAAGGGUGGACCUGGUGGACUGAAGGCACGGUGCGGGCGGACCAAUCACACUGUAGACUCGAUGUACAUGGCUAGACUCGGAGGGUGGACUAGGGGGACUGAAGGCCCGGUGCUGGCGGACAAAUCACACAGUAGACCCGAUGUGCAUGGUUGUUCUGUAUUGUGAUAUGAUAUGAGUAUGGUUAUAUGUGGAUGGUAUUUUGGGGGUAACUCACUAAACUUUCGGGCUUACAGUUCAGUGUUUUAUUUCAGGUACUUCAGGAGAUCGUGGCAAGGCGAAGGCAUGAUCAUAGCGUUCCUCAUGUUUUACGAUUUAUGUGAUAUGGUUCUAGGGAAUACUAUGAUGUUUAAACUAUUUUGAAACAAAUGUAUGAACUUAAUGGUUUUUGAAUGAAUUAAAAUGUUUUAAUUUGGCUCGAAUUUUAUUGUCGUUACAAUGGUGCCUUAGCUAUCGGAGUGGCACUCGGCACCAAAUCAAUGUGAAACUCCACUUGCCUAUCCAGAGGCACCCUAGGAAACUCCUUGGGAAAGACAUCCGGAUAAUCCUGUACAACCAGUACACUUCUCAAAUCUAUUGGGUUCUCGACCCUCGUAUUCGAGAUAUACGCCAAAAAUUCUGCACAUCCCUGAUGGGGAAGUCUCCUAGCCCUCGCAGCUGAACAGAGGGUUGCCCCCUACGAGGCCCUCUCCCCAGGAAUAAUCAGUUCUCCACCACUUGGUGUUUAAACUCUCACCAGUUGACGCUCGCAGUCUAUCGUGGCCCCAUUGGCCCCCAACCAGUCCAUUUCGACGAUCACCUUCAGUCCUCGCAAUGGUUUCAAAACCAUAUCAACACAGAACCUAUCCCCAAACACAUUUAGGAUACAAUCCUGAUCUACCCUUUCCGCACUCACGAUGCGGUAAUCCGCAAUCUAAACCUCCAGCGAGGAAUCCAACGUCCCCGGAGCACCCUUAAACUUCUUGCUGAGUGCAAGAGACACAAAUGAUUGGGUAGCCUCCAAAUCAAAAAGAACAUGGAUUGACAUACUAUUGACCAAAAACGUCCCAGACACGACAUCUGGAACUGCCCGCGCCUCCUCGGUAGUCAACUGAAAUGUGCGGCUCUUCACUGCCGGAGUUUUCGCCUUGGAAGGGCGGCCAUCAGUGAUCCUCAUCGUGGCGGGAGCAGGCGUCGUCACUGCUCCUCCUCUUUUAACAUCCAUAAAAUUCAUGAAAAUUUAAAACUUUUUCAAGCAUUCAAAAACCAUCAUUUAUUACAAAAUGUUUUCAAAAUAGUUUCAUAUCAGAGUAUCCAAAAAUCAAAUCAUAAAAAUGCAAGGAGGUGCACCAUCAUGCCUUCGCCUUCAUGCGAUCAUCCGAAGUACCUGAAACAAAAUCCAAAAAUGUAAGCCCGAAGCUUAGUGAGUAUCCCCAUAAUUCGGUUAUGACUACGGUAUCCCUUUUCAUAAUCUGAAUUAUGAGAACUUGGCAAAUAGAAAUGGAAAUGUUAUAGCAAAAGACUGGUUUAGUCUUUAUGUGAGACAUCAUGAAUCGUGUCCCAUAUGCUUCAGAUAUAGGAUCGAUUACAUGUGCUAUAUUCAUCCUUUCUAAAAUUUUCCAAAUGCCUGGGGCAUUAAGAAGGGAAAAGGUCUAGAAUUGGAUAUGACUAAAAAAAAUUAAACAAUUGUUGAGGACAAUCUAAGGCUUACCAAAGAUUGGUUGAUCAAGGACAGUUGGAGGUAUAGUGAUAAUUUUGGUAGGAACAUAUUGACAUAAUCUGUAAGGAGGCAACUCUUGUUCAUAAGUGAUAGUCAAAAUGGAAUAUGGAAAUGUUUCAAAGUUAGAAAUUAUUCAAUCUGUGUAAGAUUAGGAAACUUAAUGCAAGAAGGAUGUUUCCAAGGAGCUGAUCUCCUUUGGAAUGCUCUGUAAUGAUUAUUGGCAAGUCUUUCCGACUUUGUGCAUAAUCAUUACAAGAGGAUCAACGCAUAUAAGUUUAGAAUCUAACAUAUUUCAGUAAAUGGCAUGAAUUUGGAAUUCUUGCAUUUGCGGUAAGGAUUUGGGACUGUGAAAAGAGGAUCAUUGGAGUUGUGUUCAAUUGAUCUAAUUCACAAAAUUAAGAUCAUAGACAAACAUAGUAUGCAUACUUGGUGUAUGGCAUGACUAGUGUUUAGAAAACAUAGUGUACAUGCUUGGAGCAUGUGACAACUAUUGUUUUAAAUUCAAGAAUAAAGUUGAUAGCUGAAACAGUAUACAAUGAAUAAUGUGUAAUCAUAUGGUGAUAAAUAAAAGGUGUUUUAUUUAUGUUCAAAGGUUUUGAUACCAUAUUGGAUUCAAUUAUUAUUGUGUUUCACUUUGCAUGUUUUAACUUCCUGAAUAACUAGGUCAUUGUUCUGGAUGACUAAGUUAUUCAAACCAUCCAUAGUCGGUCAUAUGUUGGAAGUAGAUAUGAAUUAAGACUGUCAUGGGUUGGCUUGUAGAGGUCUAAGAUGUUGGACAAAGGGCUACAACACUCAUGAGUGCUCAUAAGUUCUGAGUAUUGGAUUCAACCCGCGCUCAUUGGAAUCACUUCAUGGAUUUUAUCACGAGUGAUCAUGAGACGAUAAUA
Molecule: long non-coding RNA, 10337 nt
Filed under: Lactuca sativa (garden lettuce)
Lineage: Eukaryota; Viridiplantae; Streptophyta; Magnoliopsida; Asterales; Asteraceae
Description: long non-coding RNA (LSAT_LNC001620)
Source: RNAcentral